GGGCCCUUCGCCAAGUGGUAAGGCAACGGUUUGCAAAACCGUUAUUCCCCGGUUCGAAUCCGGGAGGGCCCU
RNAcentral lists this transfer RNA (72 nucleotides) under Planctomycetota bacterium. RNAcentral describes it as "tRNA-Cys". It matches the Rfam family "tRNA". Rfam says of the family: Transfer RNA (tRNA) molecules are approximately 80 nucleotides in length. Their secondary structure includes four short double-helical elements and three loops (D, anti-codon, and T loops). The record is from RNAcentral. RNAcentral also lists the same sequence under 1 other name. Lineage: Bacteria; Pseudomonadati; Planctomycetota.